GGCUAUGACGGAUAUCUGGUUUGAGAGGAUGAUCAGACACACUGGAACUGAGACACGGUCCAGACUCCUACGGGAGGCAGCAGUGAGGAAUAUUGCACAAUGGAGGAAACUCUGAUGCAGCAACGCCGCGUGGAGGAUGACGCAUUUCGGUGUGUAAACUCCUUUUAUUAGGGAAGAUAAUGACGGUACCUAAUGAAUAAGCACCGGCUAACUCCGUGCCAGCAGCCGCGGUAAUACGGAGGGUGCAAGCGUUACUCGGAAUCACUGGGCGUAAAGGGUGCGUAGGCUGGCUUUUAAGUCAGAUGUGAAAUCCAAUGGCUCAACCAUUGAACUGCAUUUGAAACUGAAAGCCUAGAGUUCAGAAGGGGCAGAUGGAAUUAGUGGUGUAGGGGUAA
Molecule: ribosomal RNA, 395 nt
Filed under: uncultured bacterium
Lineage: Bacteria
Description: bacterial SSU rRNA
Rfam family: Bacterial small subunit ribosomal RNA
Source: RNAcentral